RNAcentral lists this ribosomal RNA (245 nucleotides) under uncultured bacterium. Its description in RNAcentral is "partial small subunit ribosomal RNA". It matches the Rfam family "Bacterial small subunit ribosomal RNA", at positions 26 to 285 of the family's 1533-position model. The record is from RNAcentral.
AGAAUCAACGCUGGCGGCGUGCCUAACACAUGCAAGUCGCACGAGAAAGUGGAGCAAUCCAUGAGUAAAGUGGCGCACGGGUGAGUAACACGUGAAUAAUCUACCUCCGAGUGGGGAAUAACUGAGAGAAAUCUUAGCUAAUACCGCAUAACACUUACGAGUCAAAGCAGCAAUGCGCUUGGAGAGGAGUUCGCAGCCGAUUAGUUAGUUGGCGGGGUAAUGGCCCACCAAGACGAUGAUCGGUA